GUCCACGCCCUAAACGAUGCAUAUUUGGUGUGGGCAGUUCAUUCUGUCCGUGCCGGAGCUAACGCGUUAAAUAUGCCGCCUGGGGAGUACAGUCGCAAGGCUGAAACUCAAAGGAAUUGACGGGGGCCCGCACAAGCGGUGGAGCAUGUGGUUCAAUUCGACGCAACGCGAAGAACCUUACCUGGGCUCGAACGGCUGGUCAACGGAGGUGGAAACACUUCUACCCCGCAAGGGGGUCCAGUCGAGGUGCUGCAUGGCUGUCGU
This 264-nucleotide ribosomal RNA is filed under the name uncultured bacterium. RNAcentral's name for it is "partial 16S ribosomal RNA". It matches the Rfam family "Bacterial small subunit ribosomal RNA", at positions 793 to 1055 of the family's 1533-position model. The record is from RNAcentral.